Phalacrocorax carbo (great cormorant) is the source of this 860-nucleotide non-coding RNA. The record is from RefSeq and is a predicted model, not a curated record. Lineage: Eukaryota; Metazoa; Chordata; Aves; Suliformes; Phalacrocoracidae.
CGGGCCCGCGGUGCGGCGCGGCAACGUCAGCGCGUUCGUCUGCCUUAGAGCGGAGCUCCGUGAGACAUCAGGCAUUUGGCAACCCGUCAGCGGCAGCCGACUUGAAGACGCUUCCUGUUUAUGGUAACAGAAACGCUUACGCAAUUCUACGCUCGAAGGCAGAACAACUCACUGUUUUUGAGCUACCUGGCGAUUAAAAACCAUGUCUUUGGGGUUUUCUCUAGCAGGGAGGAAGACGGCGGCGGCAGCUCAGCGGGAGGGCGCGCUGGGUGCGCGGGCGCGUCGUGACGUGACAGGUGCCAUCUUCCCGGCGGCGCGUGGCCCGCGGCGCCCGCCGCAGCGCGCGGCCCGCUGACGGCGGCAGCACGGCGCAGACGCCAUUUUGCUCUGAUAAUCCCGGCUGAUCGGAUUUGCCUGUGGCUUGGGAAGCAGGCGCUGAUUCCGGCGCUCCGGCUUCCCGUCCUCGGCCGCUAACUGCUGCCUUCGUUUUCGUGCCCCUCUUUUACAGCGAAUCCUUCGUGCUUAAUUACCGCAGCCAGCUGGGAUAUGUAGCGUAGCAGCCAAGCUGUUUAUAUGCAAGGAAUGUAAAUUCAGAAAGAUGAGGAAAUGCAGCGUUCCUUAUAUCCAACCCCUUGCUCCAUGGCUGUCAAUGCAGUUUUGUCCACAUCAUUUAGAAUUCCUCUUAAACCUAGCAAAGGACUUUGAUUGCUUUACUCUCCUUCAAAGCCUCUCUCGUGAAAAAAAGAAACAUUUCUGGAGACACAUAGGUCCGGGCAUAACUUCUGCAACCUCCCAUUAAAAAAGAGGAAAUAUUUCCUUGGAAAAAUAUAAUCUGAAAUAAAUUGCAUUUGGUUACUGAA